GUUUUCUCAACGAAGAAUCGCUGAAUCUUCGUCACUCAUCCUUCUGUAAUGCGAUCAACAAAGCCACCGGAACUUUCCGUCACCGGUUUAUCGGAUAAUAUCCAGGGAGGUGUUUUCCGCGCUGUGAAACGAGCUAUUGUGAUCGGAAACGGCUGCGCCGGCGCGGAGAAUCAGUGCAUCGGCCUUAUUCGCUCCUUAGGCCUCGUCGAUCGCCACCUCUAUUAUAGUGUCGCUAGGCCAAGACGAGGAAUCAAUAGGUGGCUUCAAUGGCUUCCUAUCUCUCUCUUCAUAAGACUAGACCGUUUCAUCAGCUUUAUCUGUGCCGGGUUCUCCAUUAGAGCAAAGAUGUCCGUUUUCUCCAUAGGCGGAUUACCUGGAAUCACGGAUGUGUUUGAGGUAGCUGAUGCGAAGCAGAUUGCUGCUUUGGCUCGUAGUACGUUUGCCAAGAAUGGCCCAUUGUUAGUGGUGGCAUCUGGCCGUGAUACUAUUUCCGUCGCAAGCUCCAUAAGACGAUUAGCUAUGGAGUAUGUUUUUGUUGUUCAGGUGCAACAUCCAAGGUCGCGUCUCGAGAGAUUUGAUCUAGUGAUCACUCCUCGUCAUGAUUACUAUUCCUUAACACCUGAGGGGAAGAGGCAAAUUCCUUUCUUUCUCAGGCCGUGGGUAACUCCACGUGAACCUCCAGGUAGAAAUGUGCUCCUCACUACUGGCGCGCUUCAUAACGUGGACGCCUCUACUCUGAGAGUUGCUACUUUGGAGUGGAAAGACGAGUUUGCUUUGUUAUCAAAACCUUUGAUUGUAGUUAAUAUUGGAGGACCUACAAGGAACUGUUUGUAUGGUGUUGAUCUUGCUAAGAAAUUGUCUGGUAUGCUUCAAAAUAUCCUCUGGAGCUGUGGAAGCCUAAGAAUAUCUUUCUCAAGAAGAACACCGAAGAAGGUUGCAGAAAUCAUAACUAAAGAAUUGAGCUCUAACCCGAAGGUCUACAUUUGGGAUGGAAAAGACCCUAAUCCGCAUUUGGGGCAUCUAGCUUUAGCCGAUGCUUUUAUCAUAACUGCUGACUCUAUAAGUAUGUUGAGCGAGGCAUGUACUACCGGGAAACCAGUGUAUGUUGUGGGUGCUGAACGGUGUACAUGGAAAUUCUCUGACUUCCAGAAGACUCUCCACGAAAGAGGAGCUGUUCGACCUUUAACCGGAAAAGAAGAUAUGUUGGAGAAGUGGAGUUACUCUCCUCUCAACGAUAAUGCAGAAGCUGCGAAGCGUGUGAUUCAAGAUUUGGCGGCGCGUGGAUGGAAAAUUGAGGCAUGAACAACUUUUCCAGAAGUCCAGCUCAGCCAUUAAAGGCAAAGCUCCUCUCCUAGGUUUAGCCCACACUGGCUCAGGAGGUUACAAGAGAGGCCUCUCCAUUUUCGAUUUCCUGCUCCGUUUAGCAGCCAUUGUUGCUGCCUUAGCUGCUGCUGCCACAAUGGGGACUAGUGACGAGACUCUCCCUUUCUUCACUCAGUUUUUACAGUUCCAAGCUAGCUACGAUGAUCUUCCAACUUUCCAGUUCUUCGUGAUUGCUAUUGCAAUGGUCGCAGGUUACCUUGUCCUGUCUCUUCCCAUCUC
Eutrema salsugineum is the source of this 1602-nucleotide RNA transcript. It is a transcript of the gene named mitochondrial fission protein ELM1, with no coding region annotated. NCBI's taxonomy places the organism in Eukaryota, Viridiplantae, Streptophyta, Magnoliopsida, Brassicales, Brassicaceae. The record is from RefSeq and is a predicted model, not a curated record. The transcript is spliced from 13 exons.